CUGUCAUUCAGCUCUCAGUAUACGGUCUAUGGUAAUGCAUAGUGUAACACCUACAAAUGGUCCCAUUGUCAGCUGCAUCCGUGCUGGAGAAGAGGUAAGUGCUGAAUUAAUAGCUCAUGAUACAAUGAAAUAUAUGGUUUAUCCUAUAAGGAUCUAUUUAUUGAUUAAGGAGAUAUUAGAACUUUAAUUAACCUGUCAUGACAAGUUUGCAUUACGCAAAAUUCUACAUACGGAUUGUAAUGGUUCCAAAACACUUUCCUACUAUAUACCUAUCACAAAAUGACAAUAUCCUUCAUACUUUAACUGCCAAGUUAAUGGUAAGAAUUAAACAUUUUCUCAUUAAAACCAAACUACACUCUUGGGAUAUCGAAAUGAAGACCAGAAACACUGCUUUGUAUAAGUGCAACACACUUUAU
Non-coding RNA from Pelobates cultripes (western spadefoot toad), 416 nucleotides. The record is from the annotation of a GenBank genome assembly. NCBI's taxonomy places the organism in Eukaryota, Metazoa, Chordata, Amphibia, Anura, Pelobatidae.